UACGUAGGGUGCAAGCGUUGUCCGGAAUUAUUGGGCGUAAAGAGCUCGUAGGCGGUUUGUCGCGUCUGCUGUGAAAACUCGGGGCUUAACCCCGAGCCUGCAGUGGAUACGGGCAGACUAGAGGUAGGUAGGGGAGAAUGGAAUUCCCGGUGUAGCGGUGAAAUGCGCAGAUAUCGGGAGGAACACCGGUGGCGAAGGCGGUUCUCUGGGCCUUACCUGACGCUGAGGAGCGAAAGCGUGGGAAGCGAACAGG
Molecule: ribosomal RNA, 253 nt
Filed under: uncultured bacterium
Lineage: Bacteria
Description: partial 16S ribosomal RNA
Rfam family: Bacterial small subunit ribosomal RNA
Source: RNAcentral